Molecule: ribosomal RNA, 424 nt
Filed under: uncultured prokaryote
Description: bacterial SSU rRNA
Rfam family: Bacterial small subunit ribosomal RNA
Source: RNAcentral
UGGGGAAUCUUAGACAAUGGGCGCAAGCCUGAUCUAGCCAUGCCGCGUGAGCGAUGAAGGCCUUAGGGUUGUAAAAUUCUUUCAACGGUGACGAUAAUGACGGUAACCGUAGAAGAAGCCCCGGCUAACUUCGUGCCAGCAGCCGCGGUAAUACGAAGGGGGCUAGCGUUGUUCGGAAUUACUGGGCGUAAAGCGCGCGUAGGCGGACUUUUAAGCCAGAUGUGAAAUCCCGAGGCUCAACCUCGGAACUGCAUUUGGAACUGGGAGUCUAGAGGUCAGGAGAGGUUCGUGGAAUGCCGAGUGUAGAGGUGAAAUUCGUAGAUAUUCGGUGGAACACCAGUGGCGAAGGCGACGAACUGGACUGAUACUGACGCUGAGGUGCGAAAGUGUGGGGAGCAAACAGGAUUAGAUACCCCCGUAGUCC